UACGUAGGUCGCAAGCGUUGUCCGGAUUUACUGGGCGUAAAGAGCGCGCAGGCGGCUGGUCAAGUCCGAUGUGAAAUCUCCCGGCUCAACUGGGAAACUGCAUCGGAAACUGAUCGACUUGAAGAUGGGAGAGGGUAGUGGAAUUCCCGGUGUAGUGGUGAAAUGCGUAGAUAUCUGGAGGAAUACCGGUGGCGAAGGCGGCAUCCUGGACCAUUACUGACGCUGAGGCGCGAAAGCUAGGGGAGCAAACGGG
RNAcentral lists this ribosomal RNA (253 nucleotides) under uncultured bacterium. RNAcentral's name for it is "partial 16S ribosomal RNA". It matches the Rfam family "Bacterial small subunit ribosomal RNA", at positions 524 to 776 of the family's 1533-position model. The record is from RNAcentral.